This 522-nucleotide ribosomal RNA is filed under the name uncultured bacterium. RNAcentral describes it as "bacterial SSU rRNA". It matches the Rfam family "Bacterial small subunit ribosomal RNA", at positions 48 to 572 of the family's 1533-position model. The record is from RNAcentral.
CUAACACAUGCAAGUCGAACGAAGCACCUUGGGAGAUUCUUCGGAUGAUCUUAUGGUGACUGAGUGGCGGACGGGUGAGUAACGCGUGGGUAACCUGCCCUGUACAGGGGGACAACAGCUAGAAAUGGCUGCUAAUACCGCAUAAGCGCACAGGAAGACAUCUUCCGGUGUGAAAAACUCCGGUGGUACAGGAUGGGCCCGCGUCUGAUUAGCUUGUUGGCGGGGUAACGGCCCACCAAGGCGACGAUCAGUAGCCGGUCUGAGAGGAUGAACGGCCACAUUGGAACUGAGACACGGUCCAAACUCCUACGGGAGGCAGCAGUGGGGAAUAUUGCACAAUGGGGGGAACCCUGAUGCAGCAACGCCGCGUGAGUGAAGAAGUAUUUCGGUAUGUAAAGCUCUAUCAGCAGGGAAGAUGAUGACGGUACCUGACUAAGAAGCUCCGGCUAAAUACGUGCCAGCAGCCGCGGUAAUACGUAUGGAGCAAGCGUUAUCCGGAUUUACUGGGUGUAAAGGGUGCGU